UACGUAGGGGGCGAGCGUUGUCCGGAUUUACUGGGCGUAAAGAGCGCGCAGGCGGUCGUUCAAGUCGCGUGUGAAAGCCCCCGGCUCAACUGGGGAGGGUCACGCGAUACUGCUCGACUUGAAGGCAGGAGAGGGAAGUGGAAUUCCCGGUGUAGUGGUGAAAUGCGUAGAUAUCGGGAGGAACACCAGUGGCGAAGGCGACUUCCUGGCCUGUUCUUGACGCUGAGGCGCGAAAGCUAGGGUAGCAA
This 248-nucleotide ribosomal RNA is filed under the name uncultured bacterium. RNAcentral's name for it is "partial 16S ribosomal RNA". It matches the Rfam family "Bacterial small subunit ribosomal RNA", at positions 524 to 771 of the family's 1533-position model. The record is from RNAcentral.